Molecule: ribosomal RNA, 420 nt
Filed under: uncultured archaeon
Lineage: Archaea
Description: partial 16S ribosomal RNA
Rfam family: Archaeal small subunit ribosomal RNA
Source: RNAcentral
CUACGGGGGGCAGCAGCUGAGUAAAUUUUACAAUGCUCGAAAGAGUGAUAAAAUAAACCAGAGUGUUUUUCUUUGAAAAACUUUUGUAUGAUGUAAAAAGUCAUACGAAUAAGGACUGGGCAAGACCGGUGCCAGCCGCCGCGGUAAUACCGGCGGUCCGAGUCGCAUCCACAUUUAUUGGGUCUAAAACAUUCGUAGCUUGUUCUGUAAGUUUCUUGUGAAAUCUCAUGUCUCAAGCAUGAGGCGUGCAAGAAAUACUGCAUUACUAGAGACCGGAAGACGUAAGGAGUAUGAUUGAGGUAGCGGUAAAAUGUGUUAAUCUUGAUCAGACUAACAAUGGCGAAGGCACCUUACGAGUACGGAUCUGACAGUGAGGGAUGAAGGCCAGGGUCGCGAAAGGGAUUAGAUACCCUUGUAGUC